ACACGAACUUCUUGAGGUAGAAGAUUGUAUUUGAUACCAAGAUCUUCAAAUAUUUUCUUUACCUCUAAGACUAAUUUGGAUCUCUGUUUAAUUUUCUUCAUAUAAUCCUGAAAGUUCAUUUUAUGAGUAACAUAAAGAGCCAUUUUCAUUUGGGAAAUUUACAAUCGUCCACCUGUUUGUUUUGCCUUUUUCAAAAAUACACAAACACUUUUUUUUUCAGCGCACCACCUGAAGUUUGUAUUUUGUUGCAUUCGUCCACUUCCGUCUAAUUUCUGUUAGUGGAUUUAACAGAAUGUUAACGAAAUGACCUUUUUACCCCUCAAAAUUACAAUUUAACCCAAAAUAAAUGGAAAUUAGAGAUAAAUUGGAUGAAUUUAAUUUUUUUCAAAAGGUGGAUGCUAGAAAUUGGAGGAAAAUAGUGUUUGUUGCUUGCUAAAUUUAGAAAAUUUGUAUUUAUUUUUUUGAAAGAGAAAAAAUAAAUACAAAUUUUCUAAAUCUAGCAAGCAACAAACACUAUUUUCCUCCAAAAAAAUAAAUAGAAAUUUUCUAAAUUUAGUAACAAACAUUAUUUUCCUCCAAUUUCUAGCAUCCACCUUUGAAAAAAAUUAAAUCCAUCCAAUUUAUCUCCAAUUUCUAUUUAUUUUGGGUUAAAUUGUAAUUUUGAGAGGUAAAAAGGUCAUUCCGUUAAAUUCGCUAACGGAAAUUAGACGGAAGUGGACGAAUGCAACAAAAAGUAAAUUUCAAGUGGCGUGCUAAAAAAAAAAUGUUUGUGUAUUUUUAAAAAAGACAAAACAAACAGAUAGACGAUUGUAAAUUUCCCUUUUCAUUUUAUUCACAUCCUCAAUAUCUUUCACCACCACAUUGUGAUCUCCACUCCAAUGCUGAUGCUUCCUCUUCAAGUAGCUGCAUUUAAAUAACAUUGACAAAAAAUAAGCGCAAAAAAAAGUGACAAAAGAUAAGCAUCAGCAGUACGAUAUAAUAAACAACCAAAAAUUAUUAUCUCAAAAGAACUGACUUACUCUUUUAUUCUAGAUUUUAGGUUUUCAAUGACUUCAACUGAUGUGAAAACAUCAAUUGCAAACUCCACAGUAUCACUCAUCUCUCGCGGGUUCCUGUAAAAGUUGCUGAUGGGUUUUGUAGUUAGAACUGAAUUUGGAUAAUAUAUCUUCUCAUUGUCAUAUCUCUGAAAGAUUGUUGUCAAAAUGUUCAUCUCAUCAACAACCAUCUGCAACUUAAAAUGUGUGCGUCAAGCAUAAUUUAUAUACAUAUUUUACUCUUAAUUAUUUAAUUAUUAGUUAUUUUUAUUUAUUAUUUUUAAUUAAUUAAAUUAUUUUGUUAGAUAGGGAAUUAAUUGAAGAUUAAGGAUAAAAAGAUCACGAGGAAGUUCAAAUUUGGAAGUCAAGAAGACUAAAAUUAGAAGUCAAUCCCUUCAAAAGAUGAACGGAUUUGGAAAGCAAAGAUUUGGCAAUUUGGAGUGCAUGUGCUGGGCAUUAAAAGAAGAAGUCAUUAAUUGGUCUUUUGCUUUUGUGGUCUAACGUGUGGUUAGCUUUCAAAGUUUAGUAAGGAAAUAAUUUAAAAAGGGCUUGGUGAGUGGGCUUUAUAAGUCGGUGGAUGACUUUGACUUAUGAUAAGUUGUGAAGAAUUAAUGCAAUUAGAAUCCAAUAAGGAUUAAGCAAGUCAGUAAUAUUAUAUAAAGGCAAGAGAGUAGCCGCCAGAAAAGGGAGUGGAGACGCAAGGCAGAAGAAGGGAGAAAAGGACGAGUGCAGCAGUUCGGCUUCAUGGCUGAUUUUAUCUUUUUUGUUGCUCCCAAUUUAAGUAUGUCUAACUAAUUUUCUUUUACUGAGGUUAAGGAUGAAACCCUAUUCAAUAAAAUAAUUAUCUUUUUAUUUAUUUAAUUCCCUAUAUAUGUUCUUUAAUGAUUAUGAUUUUUAUUUCACAUAAUUAAUUGAAUGUUAUUAAAAUCUUUUCAUCAAUUCUGUCAUGCAUUAUUGAUUGUUAGGAUUAAUAUUCGAUUAAAUCUAUGCUUAGAUUUAUAAAGUUUAUACAUUAUUAUCUUUGAUUCUAUGUCUUUCAUUAAAUUGUUUACAUGGAGUGCUUAGGAAACUUUGACUCUUUGUUAUUCAAUAUGUUUACAUGAGAUUCUUAGAUGUCAUAUUAUUAAGCAGAAAAUAACCUACAUUAACUUUAAUUACUUGGGCUUAAUUGUUAUAUUCAUGAGAUGACAUAGAUUAAUUUCGAGUUGUCACUCUAAAAUUGGGAAUUAAUUAAUAUUUAGAUAAUUAUUAGUUGAAUAGUGGUGAAUUCUGAAACCUUGGUAAUUUUUGUCUUAUUGAAAUCUCAUUUACUUUAAUUGUUUUCUUAGUUUAAUUUCUUUUAAAACUCGAUUUGCUCAACUAGGUUAGGAUUAAUAUUAAUUGAUUUAAAUUAGACAUUUCAAUUUAUAACAAUCUUUGUGGGAUCGACCUCGUUACCACUAUUUUAUUUCUAGAUUCGUGCGCUUGCGAGUAUAUUAAAAUUUUCACAACAAGUUUUUGGCGCCGUUGCCGGGGAUUGUGUCAGAAAGUCAGUUUAAUCUAGGUUAAUUUGAUUCUUCCACUAGUUUAUUUUAUUUAUUCAAUUUUUAUUUUAAAAAAACACAAAAAAAUUUAAUUUUUUAUUUAUUUUGAAUUUAUUGUUUGGUUGUUUGUUUUCUUUUAUUUUAAUUUUGUUUAUUUUUAUUAUUGUUGUUUUAUUUUUCUUUAUUUGUCUAGUUAGUUUAUGAGUGUUUGGGAACGUGAUUCAACAAAUCGUUUGAUCAAAAAUAGAGUCAAAAAUUAAUUGUAGUCGAGAUAGUUCUUUAGAAGUGAUGGAUGACCCAAAUAGACUAUUGACAAUACUUCCACCAGUGCAAGCAGAGAAAACCCUUAGAGAAUAUUUUUUACCACUUGCAGCCAACCAACCAUCUUGUAUUGUGUUGCCACAAACUACAGCAACACACUUUGAACUUAAGCUCUCAGUCAUUCAACUUUUACUAUCUUUUCAUGGGUUAGAGAGAGAGGAUCCAUAUUUGAACAUUAAGGAAUUUCUUGACAUAUGCUUUACAUUCCGUUUUCAAAAUUUUAAUGAUGAGUCAAUUAGGCUUCGUAUGUUCCCUUUCUCGUUAAAAGACAAAGCGAAAGCUUGGUUGAAUUCACUUCCUGCUGGGUCUAUUACUACGUGAGAUGAAUUGAGUAAUAAGUUCCUCACCAAAUUUUUCCCUAUGUCUAAAACAAAUGCCCUUAGGAGAGAGAUAAGUGAUUUUUAUCAAAGAGAGGGUGAGCAAUUUUAUGAGUGUUGGGAAAGAUUUAAUGAUUUACUCCUUAAGUGCCCCCACCAUGGUUUUGAGAAAUGGAGACUUAUACAGUGUUUUUAUAAUGGUUUAACUAUGUCAAAUCGUCAUAUGGUAGAGUCUAUGAAUGGUUGGAGAUUUUUAAACCUACAUGAAGGGGCUGCAUGAGAUUUCUUUAAUUCACUUUAUGAGAAUUCUCAACAGUGAGAUUUUUCAAAUCAAAGGGAAAAAUUGUCUCAAGUUUCUAGAAAGGGUUUAUACGAAGUUAAAGAUGAUUUUGAUGUGAAAUCCACUCUAGCUGCACUUUCUAGGAAAGUAGAUGCCUUAGCUCUGAACCAAUCAAUGAAUCACCAUCCUAGUGUAGCUAAUGAGGUUUGUGCUCUUUGUUCAAACAUGUCUCAUGCGGCACAAAAUUGUCCAUCAUUACCAGCCUAUCAAGAGGCUUAUUCUGAGCAGGUACAUGACUUACAAUCAUAUGAGAAAACCUCCAAUAAUCCAUACUCACCCACAUAUAAUCCUAAUUGGAGGAAUCACCCUAAUUUUUCUUGGAAACAAAAUCAACCUUUGUCAAACCAAAGAGGACAACAAUUUAGCUUGCCCAAUCAACAAUUUGUCCCUCUUAACCAAGUAUAUCCUCCUGCCCAACAACCCAUGUCUCAAUUUGUUGCACCCCAACAAAGAAAGCCUUCUUCAGAGGAUACACUUCAAAGUUUCAUUCAGUCAACCCAAUAAGCUUUUCAGUCAAACACUCAAGCUAUUCUAAAGCUUGAACAUCAAUUGGGUCAAUUAGCAACUAUUGUGGCUGAGAGAGAAAAAGGAAAAUUCCCAAGUCAACCAAUUCCUAAUCCCAAAGGAGUGCAUGAAGUUGGAUCGAGUUCAAUCCAUCAGCAUGAAGAAGCAAAAUCUAUUAUGACCUUGAGAAGAGGAAAAUUGUUUGACAACAAAGUAGAGGUUCAAACAAGGAAGACAUCUAAGCCUACUUCUUCAGAUCCAGUUCCAUCACAAGACUCAUCACCAAAUGAUCAAGAAGAGAGUGGUCCACCAACUUACAUUCCCAAGGCUCCUUUUCCUCAAAGGUUAGCAAAGGUAAAGAAAGGGACUUCAACAGGUGAGAUUAUGGAAAUCUUCAAGCAGGUAAGUAUAAACAUCCAUUUACUCGAUGCUAUUAAGCAAGUUCCUUCAUAUGCCAAGUUUUUAAAAGAUUUAUGCAUUAAAAAGAGAAAUUUGCAUGUCACCAAAAAUGCAUUUUUAACUGAACAAACUAGCAAUUUACUCCAAUGUAAAAUGCCACCAAAAUUUAAGGAUCCUGGUUCCCCUACUAUCUCAUGUGUUAUAGGGAACCAAUUGUUUGAUAAAACAUUAUUGGAUUUAGGCGCUAGUGUUAAUCUCUUGCCUUAUUUUGUUUACAUGCAGCUUGGACUAGGUGAGUUAAAAUCAAAUUCCAUUGUUUUGCAACUUGCUGAUAGGUCAAUGAAAAUACCUCGUGGUAUUAUAGAGGAUGUGUUGAUACAGAUUGACAAAUUUUAUUAUCCUGUUGAUUUUAUUGUUAUUGAUACUCAACAUAUACAGGAUCCUAAGAAACACACCCCAGUUAUUCUAGGUCGUCCUUUCUUAGCUACAGCUGAUGCUCAUAUUAGUUGUAGGAUUGGAAACAUGCAAUUGUCUUUUGGUAACAUGACCAUGGAAUUAAACAUUUUUAAUGUUCCCAAGUAGGCACAAGAAGAUGAUGAAUUCGUUGAAGUAGAUAUGAUAGAAGCAUCAAUUGAUGAUUCACUUAUUUCUAACCACUGUGACAAUCCAUUAAUACCAUGCACAACUGACUUUGAUUUCUCUGUUGAUGUUGAUAGUGGUAUUGAAGAAGUUAAUGCUUUACUUGAUUCGACUCUUAUCAUAGAUCUAAUUAAGUGGAAAGAAAAGAUUGAGCCACUUCCUCCUGAAGAGAAAAUUGAAUCAUUCAAGUUGGAGCUACUUCCUAAAAAAAUGCAACAUAUGUUACAUUCUGACAUGAAAAGGUGGUAAGAUCUAAAGUGUUUAAAUUAUUAGAUUUUUAUACUACUUCAGAUAACUCUCAAGAAAGCUUGGAACAAAAGAGAUCAAAGCAGUGCGAUAUUGAGGAGUUUCAUUACCAUCAUCCUUUUAUGGAUAAAAUGCUCCAGUGCUUAAUCAAAUUAUGCUUUCUGGUAUUUUCUGUAUAAUUGCUUUGAUUCGUACGCUUGCGAGUAUAUUAAAAUUUUCACAACAUCAAACAACUGAGCCCGAUAGUAUAAAGUAGGCACAAUCUUGUAUGAAACUCAAUUUAAUUAAUUUACCUGUACUCCGUCAAUAAAGCAUCUAUCGCCUACAUCAAAUGGGUGCGUCACAAAUACAAAUAUGAUGGCUUCAAAACAAGUCCUGGCUGUAUUACCAAACAUGAAUGCCAGAAGUAAAAGCUGGGAUGUAAUGACGGCAAUUACUUUGUAAGUCAAAAGACCCAUCACUAGCAACCACACUAUGAUGAUCACGACAACCACAAUUCCUGAAAGAAUCCUGUUCAAUUCUUCUAUGGCAGUUUUGGCAUCAUUUAAGGAACGCUUCAGAGUUUUGCGGUCAUUAUAAACUUUUAUCUGCAAUGAAAAUAACUUCAUCACAAGAUGAGUUGAUGGUGUAUGACAAGUGAAGUAGAAAUUGUAGGAGAUAUAUGACAAUGCAGUGUUUUGGGCUACGUAUAAAUGAGUUUGAAUUAGUUUUAAUUUAUUAGUGUUUUUUUUUUCAAGUUCUUUUGGUGUGCUUUCAGUUAUAACAUUAAACGAUCAAGAUUUUGUUAACAGUGUAUUCUUAUCUAAAAAUUAUUAAUAAAAAAAUUUCUAUAAGUCAAAACAAAUAUUAGGUCAUCAUGGAUCCAAAUAUCGUACAAAUAUAUAAUCGUUAUGUUGAUUACACAUUUAUAUCAAUUCAUAUACCUCAUAUGAAAAUUUAUUGUGGUUUUUUUAAUUAGCAAUACAAAUUUAUCAUUUAAUUAAGAAGAGUUCUUUAGUAAUGCAUCUAACUAAAGAACUUAUUUAGUGCUAAGUUGAGCUUCGUGCUUGGCUUUUUAAACAGUGCGAUUGAUAGUUAUUAGAUUAAAAAAAUAAUAUAAUUAACCAUAAAAUGCCAUAAAUAAAAACCAAACUAAAUUCAAAUCAAACUCAAUCUGUUCUAGAAAUAGGAACUAAAUAAGAGCUUGAUUUUAAUUUGUUCUCGUUAGUUUCGAUUUACUUUUGGUUUGGGGUUUUAUUGUUUGUUUUAUUACUAAUUUGGUUCUUUCCUCUAAGAGACAAAAGGAAUCAACCUCAACACUAAACUGUUUAGUUUGAAAUUUUUUUAACCGAACAUAGACCAAAUUUAAUUCAGUUUGGCUUGAUUAAAUUCAAUAACGAUUGGUUCAACCCGAAAUGGUUCAACUUUUAAUUUGGUUGGUUUGAUUCAAUUGUAUCUCCUUAACGUGACUGAAGAUCAUAAUAAAAUCAGCACAACACAACUCAAUUCAAUAUUGAAUCUAAAUCCAAAGAAUCUUACCACCCAUUUCUUAAAAUCUGCCUUAUUGAUUUUUCCGCUCUUGACCGCUCUAAACAAUUUCAGCAUUUUUUUCACAUGUUGCUCAUCGUCCAAGAACUCCUUAAGCUUCUGCUCCCCGAUAAACCUAGUCAUUGUUAACAAUAACAAAAUAAAAACAACGAGAUGAAUUGAUUCCGAAAAAAAUCAUAUGAAACUGGAAUUUUAUUUAGUUAAAGUAACUAGACUCACUCGCUUUGAGGCGUUUCUAGCUUCUUGAUUAUCUUAUCGGCGAGAUUUUUAGCUUCUGAUUCGCUUUUAAUCUCACUGAACUCAUCAAGCUCACUUGACAUUGACGACUUUAAGCCACUGCAACUGAUUAAUCCUUGCAAGAUACAGGCAGAAAUCUUCUCUAUCGUCGUUAUUCUUUUAGCCUUUUUUUCCUUGUUAAUCCUAGAAAUAAACUGCAUCGCUAUAUUUGCGUUCCUUAAUUUUUUAACCUUAUUUUUUUGUGGAGCUGAAAGAACCUGAACAACGUGCUGAUGAAAGAUCGAUUGAUGAAUCUGAUGGAAGAAUCGCUUGCUUUGGAAAGAAACACUUUUUAACUUAACUGAGAGAGUCUUCACGAACCAAACAGCAGCCCCAGCAACAAAAGAAGCAAGAGUCCUUGUAAUGUGAUGGAAAAUUUUACUAGUUUCUUUUGAUCGCUUAACCCCAUACCCAUAGUCAAACAGAAAGAUCCAGACUAAAAGGACACAAGUCAACCAAAUAAAAACGCUCACACUUGUCCUCAACCCAUAAACAAAAUACAGAACCAAAUGCUUAAGCAUGAAUUUUUUUUCAAUGAGCAAAACAGUAAUAGUGAUGAAGCAUCGACUAACCAGAGGACCAGAGAGAGUCACCAAUGCUAACAGACACCAUUUCCACAGCUCUAGAUCCCAUAUGACAUGGUUUUGCAACUUUUUCAAGGCUAAGCUGGCAAUUAACAAGCACAAUAUGGACACAAAUAUAAUGAACUCAAGCAUGAGUGAAAUGUCCUUUACUUUACCUAUUAUUAUAUUUUCAUCAUCUUCCUCUCCCUCCUCUUCCUCUUUCUCUUCCUCCUCGUCUUCAUCCUCUCUUGAAGCAGCUGACUUCAAGUUCUUUGCUUGCUCUCUUAAAUGAGAUUCUUCGGUAUCUGUAUUAAUCUGUAUCACGGUAUUGUCGUUUCCUUUGUCCUUUUUACCUUCCAUUUGCGCUAAUGAGGAAGAAGAGCUAGAGUUGCCUAAAAGGGAGUUGUGUGUACUAGCAGAAAGCGAAACCGCCAUAUAUAGAGCAGCAAUACGAAUUUGGGAGAUUUACGAAAAUAACCUAAAAACUUUUGUAAUUUUUACAAUUAACCCUCCAAACUUUUUCCUAUCAACAUAAGCCAAACACAAGGUUUUCUCCCCAAAUUACUCUUGUUUACAAACCAAAAGCAAAUUUCCUUCUCCCCCUUUAUCAAACCGAACGCAGCCUUGCACUCUUGAAUCAUUAUCGGCGACGGCAAACAUCAUCGGAAACGGGAAACGGCAAACGGCAAGGGCAAACGCCAACGACAAACGGUAAAAGUGAACUUCAAUCAAAUACAGCAUAAUACAUCCAGAUCCAACACCAAUUCGUAUCAUCGAACGGUAAGAGGUAUUUUCUGAACUUGCAAGUGCGGUAGCCUGUCGCACCAAGAUGCAGAUUUACCCGAAUCUGCCUCUUCGUGCAACAAUCGUCCGUGUCACACCAAAAUCGUGCGACAGGCUGCCUGUCGCACCAAGGGGCAGAUUCAUUGUAACUCACUCUUGUUGCGACAGUGCGACAAGCAACUUGUCGCACCAACAUACAAUUAUUUUUUUAUGUAAUAUAUAAAAAUUUAUUCUCUUUAUUAGUUUCAUAGUGCGUAAUUAAUUUUUUUUAAUAUUUCAGGUUUAAUGGAUUCAGUUGUGCUUCAAUUGUGUUAUGAUGAUUGGUGGGAGAUGUCAAGGGAUGGCGGUAUGGAGUAUGUGAAUGGUAAAAAUACAUUUUUUUUAGUUGGAAAAAAUUGUCUGUUCGAGUACUUUUUGGCAAGAGUAUAUGGGGUCUUACAAAUAAAUACUAAUGAAUAUAAUAUCAUAAUAAAGACAAUUUUGAGGUCUAGUAACACAUUCUAUUGUAUGUGUGCACUGCCCAUGGACAUAUUUAAUGAUGAAAUUGUGAGGGUUGUUUUGCAUAUGGCAUCUGAUGUGGCCAACUAUGGAUGCAUUCAUAUAUUUGUUACCACAUCUCCUCGAGUUCCGAGCGAAGAUCUUGAGCCACCCGUUGAAACAGAAACUUCCUUAGAGCAAAUAUGUCUGGCCCUGAUAUUGAAGAGGAGGUGCUGCCAAGGACAAUAUCGUUGCAACAAUAUUACUCUCCACUCGAUGACAAUAAUGACAACAUUGAUGACAACGACAUUAUAUUAGUGGAUAUUGAAGAAGAGGUAUUACCACUAACGACAUCGUGGGAGCAACAGUAUUCUCUGUAUCAUAACAAUGAUUUCCACGACAAUGAUGAUUCUGUUGAUGACUUUAGCAACGCGGAGGCAAAUAAUGUUUGUCCAAAACCUUCUAAUGCAAGUGAUGAUGGAGGUGUUAGUCCUUCCAAUAUUCCAUCGUUUCAGCACGAGGAUGAGUGUGAAGAUGAUAAUCUUGUGAAUAACAGAGACAAUCGAUCUAUUCUUCCAAUGGCCGGUUCAAGAAGGAGGAUUGAACCCCUCACAAGUCUUGCUCUAAUUUUUCCUUCGAACAUGGCUGCUUCAAGUUUUCUUAGCAGUUCUGACUCAGAUGAUAUCAGCGUAGGUAAGUUAUUCGCUGAGAAGAAUGAGUUAAUAUUACAACUGCGCAAGGUUGCCUUUAGGGAUAAGUUUGAUUUCAAGAUUGUACGGUCUACAACGACACAUUUCGAGGCUCACUGUUGUUCGGAAUCAUGUAAAUGGUGUAUUCGAGCAAUUAGAAGUUCAAACGAGCAUAUUGGUCUUCAGGUGGUGAGGAGAAUUGACAAUGUAUACACUUGUCAUAAUGAGGUAUUGGUUGAUGGUCGUCAUCAAGUAACGAGCCGACUUGUCGGUCAUAUUAUCGCAAAUAAAUAUAUUCAAGAAAAAAGAAUAUACACUCCGAAUGACAUCAGAGCAUAUAUGCUGCAGGAGUACGGUGUGCGGUUAACAUACCAACAUGCAUAUCGAGCUAGAGAAGUUGGUCUUGAAAUAGUUCGAGAGAACCCUGCAGAGUCAUACAACCUGCUCCCUAAAUACUCUCACGUAUUGACUAAAGCGAAUGAGGUACAGUCACACACCUCGAGCGAGAUAGAAAUGGUAAUUUCUUGUACUACUUUGUAGCACUUAGAUCUUCCAUCAAGGGUUUUAUGCAGUACAUUCUGCCUAUCAUUGUUGUGGAUGGUACUUAUCUAAAGGGGUUAUAUCAUAGAAGCAUUUUCGUGGCAACAUGUCUGGAUGGUAAUAAUUAACUGUAUCUGUUAGCCAUUGGGGUCAUGGAUUCAGAAAACAAUGAUGCUUGGAAAUGGUUUAUGAUGAACUUACAUAGAGUGAUUGGCGAUAGGCCGGAGUUGGUAAUUAUCUCUAAUCGAUGCACUGUCAUAAGGAGAGUCAUUCUGAAAAUAUUUCACAAUGCAGCUCAUGACGUUUGUAUUUACCAUGUGAAAGGUAACAUUAAGUCAAAGUUCAGGAUGUCCAAAACUCUUUAGGAUGAGUUUGAUCCUACCUUUAUUAAUGCAGCAAAAGCAUAUGGAUACGAAGAAUUUAAAAGGCAACUUAAAGGGUUGUGGAUGCUCCACUCGGGCGCGGCUGAUUACUUAGAGAAUAAUGUAAGUACGUGUAAUUGGCUGAGGUCUCAAUUUGAAGGUAGGAUGUACAAUAUAUUUACCACCAACAUCGCGGAGAGUGUUAAUUCUUUCAUGAGGGAACCACGAAAAUUUCUUGUUACUCAUCUUGUUGAUCACUUUAGAAAAACAAGGCAACAAUGGUUUUAUGAUAGAAAAAUUAUGGCUGAAUCAAUGAGUACUCGGCUAACAAUAUGGGCGGAUGAAAUAGUCAUUGAGAGGAGAACUAUGGCUGAAAGAAUGAUCGCUCGCCUAGUGUCUCCGUAUUGAUUUCAAGUUGUAGGUGGUGGGAUCAACGAAGGUUUAGUUGACAUACAAAAUAGAACUUGCUCCUGUAGAGUAUUUGAGCUUGAUCAGCUUAUCUGUGCUCAUGUAUUUGCGGCUUGUCUGACUGUCCGAGUGGAUUACAUAAACCUUUAUUCGGACUACUACACCAAGGAAUCGUUAGCGAUGGCUUAUGCACAACCAGUGGAGCCGGUUGGCGACGUGGCUGAUUGGGAAGUUUCAGAUGAAAUUCAAAAGAUGCAUGUUUAUCUACCUGUUGAGGCACCACCACCUAGUCAUCGUAAAGAGCUUAGAAUACCCUCGACUGGCGAGGAUGUCAACCAGAGGACUGUUAGAUGCGAGCGGUGUAAUGAAUCAGGACAUAAUCGUAAGCGAUGUAAGAAUUUCAUUGCAUCGAGUCGAAGUUAGUCGUAUUGUUUCAAGUGAUUAUGUUAAAAUAUUUGUUACUUUUUUGUGUAUUGUACACUUAUAUUUCAUGAAAUUUUAUUCCUAAGUUUUUAUUUUAUAUUAAAAUGUGAGCAUGAAAAUUAUAUAAACUUAAGUACGCAAAUUAGAAACAAAAAUCUAUGUUUCAAUAUUCGAAUUACUACAACGGUUUACAAUACAAUAUCAUCAUUAAAUAUGUCAACUGCAAUCUUCUUUCUAAAGUACUCCCCAUGACUACCGUUAAAAUUUAAUUUAAGCCCGAACAUUAAAUACAUCGUAAACAUCAACAAAAAACACCGCAAUCACCAGUAUCGGGCUCUUGUUGUGGCACACCCUUAACUACAACAACUUUCCAUGGGUUGGCACUCUACAACUCAGAUCAAAUGUUGUAAAAUCCAACAUAUUCCAACCAUCAAGGGAAGAUAACUUCAAACGGCCUGAACUUUAACUUGUAUUUUUUAUCGUCUCGAAACAUCAACAGUGAGUCAUAAAUCUAGACUUUGUUCUUACGAAAGUCAACUCGGACUAGUACCUAAUGCUCGCGGUACAGGUUAAUAGGGAUGAAUACCUGUAUAUAAAAAAUUGUCGUAAAUGUAUCAUGUAUCAUAUGAAAUUGAAAAACAUACAACAAAAAGACAUAUUUGAUUGUGUCUGUAAAAUUAAAUAAAAUACACACUAUAUCGACAUCCGUCAUUGGUUUGGACAUGAUGUGCUGCCGCCUACCAAUAUAGUUAUUCAAGUUGUCGCUAUUGUGAAAUGACUAUAAUGCCCCUAAAAUACAUAAAAUACUUAAUUAAAAUAAAACACACGGAAUUAAAUCAAAAGAAGGUUAAAUUCAUAAAAGUAAAAGUGUUAGUAAAACUUGUAGUGUAAAAUGAUGAUUUUCUCCUUUAUAAAUAUACAUUUUCUAACACUCAACACACCCCCCAACCAGCUUAUUGCUAGUCCCUAGCAAAUAAAGCGAAAAUGAAAUUCAAAUCCAAAAUGAUAUUUUUUUUUUUAAUAGAAACACUCGUGUUUAUUCAAUUAGAUUGAUGAUAGCAAUCAAAUAAAAGUAUAAGCAUUAUCUCCAGUCUAAAGCAACAUCACACCCACAUCAACCAUCCACAUGAAUUAGCCCAGUAGACUUUGUUAUAGUUACUUUCAAGAAUGACAUGUCAAACCCCAAAAUCUCACUGGAAGUAGUGACACUCUCACAAAGAAAUUAAACCCAAAAAAUAGUCACUCCAAUGAAUGGUAAUUGAGAGAAAAUAAUGAAAAAGUGAUAUCACAUGCUCUCACCAAGAUGAAAUAAAUAUGCCCUCAGCUUAGAAAUAAUACAAUCUUAAGUCAAAUAAAAAAAAUGUUAGUCAACCCAAUUUAUUUAUUUAUUUUUUUUAUAUGCACCACUACAUCUUUUUAGCCCAUAUAACUAGCUUAUACUUCAAACUAUAGUUCCCUAAAAUCAAGAAGGACUUUUAUUAGGACGUAGCGUAGGCUAGGGAUAUGGCUAACAAAGAAAGGAAAUAAGGAAAACAAAGUGUAUGUUUGAGAAAAAUGCAGAAAUAUUUUUUUUUUUUUUUUUUUGAAGUUGCAAGGUGGAUUUCACCUAUUAUUGUUAUUUUAUUCUUUUGAAACAAUAAUUUUUGUUUUUUUUUUUUUGCUUUUAUUUGGCAUAACUUCACUUAACAACAUAAUUAUUUACAUUUUCUCAAACAUAAAUAGGUGAUGGAACUUAUAAGACAUCGGGUAAUACUCCAAAUCAGAGUGGGUCAAGAUGAUAAGUUGACAAAGAAAAGGUUUUUUUUUUUUUUUUUUAAAGGCUCAAAAGGGGUAACUAUGGAUAUUUAAUAAAAGGGAUGGCUAGAAAGGCUCAAACGGAUCAAAGAUGGCAUUUUCAUCGUUUUUUAGGGCUCUAAAUAAUUAUCCAUAUCUACUAGUUAGAUGGGCCUCCCAAUGUAACAACACACAUUUUUUUUUUCUUUUUUUAUUUAAUUUUUAUUUAAUUUUUUUUUUAAAGGGUUAACUUAAAAGAAAUCUAGAGAUCGUGUAUAAAAUAAUAAACUGCUAAGCUGUAUAGAGAAUGGGCAAAAGGGUUACUCUCCAAGAAAAUGAUAGGCUCAACAACUCACUUGGCACUUAUUUAUGACACGUUCAUUCCUUCAAGCAACUCAUAUUUGUCUCCGACAUCAACAUGUAAAGUAGCAAACAUAGCGUAACAUCACUUAAGACCAAAGAUAAUACAAAUACUAAAAUUUGAAAUUAAUCAUGUCAUCCAAUGUUAAAACAAAUAACACAAUUUUUUUUUUAAACAACAUUCUACCCCCCAACCUAUUCUAAACAUGAAAGGAAAAUAUGCAUGCAGAAAUGUGAAAAUGAUGUAGAAAAAAUUAAUUAGAAAAAGAAAUUUUUUUUUUUUUUAACUAAGAAGAUGCGUUUCUAGAGGCACUAUACUCCAUAUUCAGCCAUCUUCGACUCAAAAAUUUGAAAAUAUAUAUUUAUAAAGGAGAAAGAGGAAGAAAACGAUUUUUUUUUUUUGUUUUUUUAAACGAUGAAGAUGCGUUUCUAGAGUAACUACACUCCAUAUUCAGCCAUCUUCAACACAAAAUGUUAGCAACAGUUAGUUUCUACAACAAAAAAUCAGUAAAAACUUAACCAAGAUUCCACAAUUGUCGACUAUUCUCUCCCCCCAACCAGAACGAAACAUUGUCCUCAAUGUUUUAAAGGAAAGAAGUAGAGUUUAGAAGACAUCACCUGGGUGGUGCAACACAGAAGAAAAUAUUUACAGGCGGAGAGUUAAAUCUAAUUUGUACUUCUUACUGCGACUACUGUUAGCAUCAUUAUUUGGUCGCUCCAACACAAAGGUCCAGGGGUCUGGCUCCGGUUUAUAAGCUUGUAACAUAUCAAGUAGCUCAUUAGCAGUGUGAGCACAAAUAAAGAGUUUUUUCACAUUAGAAGGAAUGAAAUAGUUUUUUAUUGCAUGGUUAAGAAAUGCGAUAAAGCCAUCAUAAAAGUUAUUGACAUUUAACAAACCGAUGGGUUUCUGGUGAAUGUGUAGAUGGGCCCAAGAUGCUAGUGUCAUAAGUGCCUCUAGUGUUGCAAGAUCUCCUGGAAGGAAAAUAAAAGCAUCAGCAUGAUUAAGCAUUUCAAUUAUUCUUUCUUGCAUACCUGAGACGACUAACUCUUCUCCAGUUGAUGAGUCAGACGAACUGCCCAAUGGUUUUAGGACUCUUGGGAUGAUGCCUAACACUUGACUUCCUCUGAUAAAAGCUGCUUCUGAGACCAUUUUUGAUAACCCUCGGUUACCUCCUCCAUACACCAAGUGUAAUUUUCUCGCUGCUAUGCUUCGACCAAGAUCUAUGGCUGCCUCCACGAACUCUUUAUGUUUGCCAUAGGUAAAUCCAGAAAGCACACAAAUGUUCUUGAAUUGUCUAUUGGGAGUAGCUGUCAUUGUGAUACUUCUCAAAAACAAUUUGUGAGUGCUUGACAAAAGAUAAAUCACAUUUAAGAAUCUUGGUGAUAGUGGGUCAUAGCUGUGAAUGAGGUAACAUGUCAGUGUGAAAUAACGCGUGAAGCACAUGGCUUGCGAGUCAAAAAGGAAACAGUAAAAAGGAAAAAGCAAACAGUAAUAAAAUUAUUAAAGACAAUAAUGCAAACAAUAAAACAACAGUGAAAUGAAAUAAAAUAACAGUAAAGUAAAAGGAUAUUUACACGUAGUUGCGACUGUGGCUCACAUCUUCCUCUGGUUUUACGUCCAGAAACGGCUUGAACACCCUCUAUGGGUCGAGGAUAGGCUUCCUAUCCAGUUUUCUUAUAAACUGGCAAACAGGGUCGUUUAUAGUCAGAUUCCCAAGACUAUAUCGUGCAUACUCUUUCUGGAAUAAUGGUCAUAACUGGAGAAUCGCUCCUUGCACAUAUCCACUAGGAUGCGUUUCAAGAGACAAAAGGAUAUCAUCCAAUGACUCCUUAUUCAAGCCAUCCCUAAUGAAUUGAAUCUUAUCUUCCCUGUUAUCAGACACCAUUCCUAAAGAACAUGGGUUUCUAUCGCAACUCAUUCUGGCACACUUAUGACAAGCAACAGAAAUUCUUCGAGCUCGUCGUUUUCUUGCGUAAUUUCCUUUACCACAACCAGGCAUGUAUGUAAUAAAUUUAGGAGGUAACUCACCUGCCAAUCGUACUUUAGCCUCGAUUAACCAACGGAUGUCUGCAGGUAUGUUAUUCCUCAUGAGCAAUCGCAUGCGUUCAGACCGGGCUUUAUAGAUUGUAAGGAGGGCAUUCUGAGGAAGUGAAGGGAAUCGCUUGUGAAGCUUUGCUAAAAUCUCGUUUCUAUCCAUACCUUCGCCUCAGAAUAUCAGUUAUUAUGGGAAACUGAAGUUAACCGACUUGAUUGUCACGGAGUACCGUUAUCCGCCACUUCACCGGGGUAACAAACUAAAGCACACAAACAGAAAAACAAAUCAAAACACACAAAGAAAAUUAAAACGUCCUCUUAUUGAAUUUACCUCAAGCUCCAACUGGAUGUCGUAAACACUUCUCUCAAUAUCUCGGAGUUGGCGUUCUAAACCCUCAACAUAGGCUACUAACUCUGGUGGUUGUAGAGCCCAAAUGCGUUGUGUUUUACAAAAUUGAAUCUGCUUUUUGAGAUGAGUUUUGACACAUUGAAGUGGUUUAAGAAUGUUCAGGAGGAACGGUCUAAGUAUGGUACUCAUGAUUAACAAUGAUAAGAAAAAAGAAAACUUAAUGGUAAAACAAACACACUUAUGCAAAAAUAAUUUCAAUUAGCAAAAGAAUAAUAAAAAGAAAGAAAGAAAAAUCAAAUCAACGAAAAGAAAAAACAAAUCAAUUCAAAUCUGGUGGGUCACUCAAAUUUAUUUCGGUGUCUUCUCCAUGUGGUUGGUAUUCUAGAUAUGGCUUUAAUCUUUGACCAUUAACUUUAAACGUGACACCGUUCUUUGGGUCUUUAAUUUCAAUUGCCCCAUGUGGAAAAACAGUAUGAACAAUAAAGGGACCAGACCAUCGAGAGCGUAACUUACCUGGGAAUAGGUGCAAACGAGAAUUGAAUAAAAGCACUUUCUGACCUGGAGUGAACGAUUUUCUCAUAAUGUGCUUGUCAUGAAAGACUGUCAUUCGUUGCUUAUAAAUCUUGGCAUUUUCGUAUGCAUCAUUGCGAAUUUCUUCAAGUUCUGCCAGUUGUAAUCUUCUUUCUGAGCUGGCUUGCUGCAUGUCAAAGUUGAAUUUCUUGAUGGCCCAAUAUGCACGAUGCUCGAGUUCCACAGGUAGGUGGCAAGCUUUUCCAUACACUAGCCUGUAGGGUGACAUCCCAAUCGGGGUCUUGAAAGUCGUUCUAUAUGCCCAUAAUGCAUUAUCAAGUCUUAAUGACCAAUCUUUUCUGUCUGGCCUCACCGUCUUUUCUAAUAUGUGCUUUAUUUCUCGAUUGGAGAUCUCAACUUGGCCACUGGUUUGCGGAUGAUACGGGGUUGCCACUUUGUGUGUGAUUGAAUACUUUGUCAAAAGAGCUUUGAAUGCUUUGUUACAAAAGUGGGCACCACCAUCACUGAUUAUUGCUCGAGGGAAUCCAAAGCGCGAAACAAUGUUGCUUUUCAAAAAUCCUAUCACCACCUUGUGAUCAUUGGUUCUACAUGGAAUUGUUUCUACCCAUUUUGAGACGUAGUCAACACCAACCAAUAUGUAUUUAUGGCCAAAAGAAGGGGGAAAGGGUCCCAUGAAGUCGAUACCCCAUACGUCAAAAAUCUCAACCACUAAAAUUGGAUUUAGUGGCAUCAUGUUCCUUCGUGUAAUGCUCCCCAUUCGUUGACACCUAUCACAUGAAGAACAGAAAGUGUAAGCAUCUCGAAAUAUAGUUGGCUAAUAGAAACCACAUUGUAAAACUUUAGUCGCUGUUUUCUUAACACUGAAAUGGCCUCCACAAGCUUGUUCAUGGCAGAAUGAAAGGAUAUUCUGAAUUUCACUUUCAGGGACACAUCGUCUAACAAUUUGGUCUGCACAAUACUUGAACAAAUAUGGGUCAUCCCAAAAGAAAUUCUUUAUUUCCGCAAAGAAUUUAGCCUUGUCUUGCUUGGUCCAAUGCUCUGGAAAUUUACCUGUAACAAGAUAAUUAACUAUAUCAGCAUACCAAGGUAAUACUUCCACACUCAUUAAUUGUUCAUCUGGAAAUGACUCAUUUAAUAUUAAUGGCUCUGUAAUUGUGUCAAAAUGGGGACGAGAGAGAUGGUCCGCCACAACAUUUUCUGUUCCUUUCUUAUCUUUGAAUUCCAAGUCAAAUUCCUGCAAAAGUAACACCCAACGAAUUAGUCUAGCUUUUGCAUCUUUCUUUGUGAGAAGAUAUUUAAGCGCAGCAUGAUCUGUGAAUAUAAUUAUUUUACAACCAAUGAGAUAAUAUCGAAAUUUUUCCAAUGCAAACACUACUGCUAGCAUUUCUUUUUCAGUAGUUAAAUAGUUCAACUGUGCAUCAUUCAAUGUCAUACUAGCAUAGUAAAUAACAUGAGGAAUUCGAUCAACUCUUUGUCCUAAUACUGCUCCUACUGCAUAAUCAUAUGCAUCACACAUGAGCUCAAAUGGUAAGCUCCAGUUUGGGGCCUGAAUGAUGGGUGAUGAUGUCAACAACUGCUUUAAUUUUUCAAAUGCCACAAGACAUGAAUCAUUAAAGAUAAAAGGUACAUCCUUAGCAAGUAGAUUGCAUAAGGGUCUAGAAACUUUGCUAAAAUCUUUAAUGAAACGUCUAUAGAAACCAGCAUGCCCAAGGAAAGAUCUUACUUCUCUGACUGUUUUGGGUGGAGGAAGAUUAGAAAUGAGAUCCACCUUGGCUUUGUCAACCUCAAUACCUUUGCUUGAAAUGAUGUGACCGAGAACAAUACCUUGUUUUACCAUAAAAUGGCACUUCUCACAAUUCAAGACUAAGUUCUUCUCGGUACAUCUCUGCAGAACUAGAGUUAGAUGAUGUAAACAUUGAUCAAACGAAUCACCAAAGACAGACAAGUCAUCCAUAAAGACUUCAAGGAAUCGUUCAACCAUAUCAGAAAAAAUGCUUAACAUGCAUCGUUGAAAUGUAGCAGGUGCAUUACAUAAUCCAAAUGGCAUUCUCUUAUAUGCAAAUGUGCCAAAAGGGCAAGUGAAAGUAGUUUUCUCUUGAUCUUUUGGUGCUAUGGGAAUCUGAUUAUAUCCUGAAUAGCCAUCUAGAAAGCAAUAAAAUUCAUGGCCUGCUAAUCUAUCAAGCAUUUGAUCAAUAAAUGGUAAAGGAAAAUGGUUUUUACGUGUGACAUAAUUCAACUUUCUAUAAUCAAUGUAUACAUGCCAUCCUGUAGUUACUCUAGUUGGUAUCAAUUCAUUAUCAGCAUUGGUAACUACUGUGACUCCUGACUUUUUGGGGACAACUUGUACAGGACUGACCCAUGAACUAUCAGAAAUUGGGUAAAUGAUACCUGCGUCUAAUAGCUUAAGGACUUCUGUUCUAACAACUUCUUUCAUAUUAGGAUUUAACCGACGUUGCAUUUCCCUAGUAGAUUUAGCAUUUUCAUCAAGGUGAAUGUAAUGCAUGCAAUCUGUAGGGUUUAUACCUUUUAUGUCUGCUAUGGUCCAUCCUAAUGCUCCUCUGUGCUCUUUUAAAACAUCCAACAACUUACCUUUUUGUUCGUCAUUUAGGGAUGAUGAGAUGAUUACGGGUAGAGUACUUUCUUCUCCCAAAAACGCAUAUUCCAAUGUGUUGGGCAAUGGUUUGAGCUCGAGUUUCGGUGGUGAUUCUGAUGAUGGGAUGAGUUUCUUCUCUAAUGGUGCUAGUUGUUCAACUCUUGACUUCUAUUUAUUAGUGUCCAUGUAUGGUGCUGAGUCAAGCAGGGCGUUGACCUCAUCGACCGAUCUGUCAAUAUCAAAAUCCAAACCAAAGUGAGUUAAACAUGUUUGUAAAGGAUCAUCACUAAGGUUUGAAAGAAAAGUAUUAUCAACUAUUGUUUCUAUUAAAUCCACAUCAACAAUUCCAUCAUCUGUAUUGUGAGGUUGUUUGGCAAUGUUGAAGAUGUUCAGCUCCAUAGUCAUGUUGCCAAAGGACAACUGCAUAUUUCCAGUCCUGCAUUGAAUGUGAGCAUCCGCAGUUGCCAAAAAAGGUCGGCCUAAAAUAAUAGGGAUGUGCUUCCUUGAAUCCUGUAUUGAUUGAGUGUCAAUUACAAUGAAAUCAACAGGAAAAUAAAACUUGUCUACCUGGAUAAGCACGUCCUCUACAAUACCACGAGGUAUUUUCGUAGACCGAUCUGCAAGCUGUAACACCACUGGAGUUGGGUGUAAUUCUCCAAGUCCAAGUUUCAAAAAUACAGAGUAAGGCAACAGAUUUACACUAGCUCCUAAAUCCAACAAAGCAUUCUCAAUUGUGUGGUUCCCUAUACUACAUGAGAUAGUGGGGGAGCCUGGGUCUUUGCAUUUUAAAGGAAUUUUAUGUUGGAGUAUAGAACUAACGUUUUCUGUUAAAAAUGCCUUCUUUUGAACAUGCAUGUUUCUCUUUUUAGUACAAAGGUCUUUAAGAAACUUGGCAUAAGAUGGAACUUGUUUAAUAGCAUCAAGUAAAGGGAUGUUAACACUUACCUGUUUGAAGAUUUCGAGAAUCUCACCUGUGGAUUUUCCCUUCUUUCCUUUCGCUAACCUCUGAGGAAAUGGAGCUUUAGGAACAUAUUCUCGUGGGUUGGUUUCUUCUUUUUCCUCCGGUGGUGAGUCCUCAACAUUCACAGGUACAAUUUAAUUUUCUUUUGUCACCAGCAUCUCUACUUUGUUGUCGACUUCCUUUCCUUUUCGCAAGGUCAUGACUGCUUUGACCUCUCCAUGCUGUUGUGGUGAACUGGUACUUGCUUCAUGUACUCCUUUAGGAUUAGGCACUGGUUGACUUGGAAAUUUACCUUUCUCAACAGUAAUUGUCAAGGUCUGAACUGAAGAAGCAAGUUGUCCCACCAUCUUCUCGAGGCUUGAAACUGAUUGGGCUUGUGAGUUGAAGCCCGCUCUCAACUCAUUUCGUAGUCCAUCAAUGGUGCGAUUCUGUUGCUCAAUCGUGGAGUGAGUAAGAUUCUUGAGAUUCUAGAAUGAAUCCUCCCAUGGUCUGGGUUGAGAGUAGUUCUGGUUCUGAUUGAAUGGUCUAAAUGGGGGCUGAGAGGCUUGAGGAACUUGAGGAAUUGGUGGAGCUGGAGCUGCUGGUCCAUUCUGUUGGAAUCCUUGAGACCAUGAAAAAUUGGGGUGGUCUCUCCAUCCAGGGUUAUAUGUGUUGGAGUAUGGGUUGUAAUUCGAUGGUUUUCUCAUUACACCUAUGGCAUUGGCUUGAUCUGAGUAUGAGUCAUGGUCAUGUGGCUCUGUUGAUUUAGCAGUCGAUAACGAUGCUAUUUGUCGAGAGAGACCUUCUAUUAUUGCUUUGACUUCUUUGAUUUCUGAAUUUGACUCGCCAAUUUGAACCUCAUUCACUCCUUUAAUUCUUCUAGUAUUCCUGAGUGAUCGACUCCGUUGUUGGGAAUUAUCCGCUUGUUGCUGGAAGAAUUCCCAAAUCUCUUAUGCACUUUUUGACAUUAGCUCUCCUGCACUUGUUGCCAUUAGCCAUUCUUGCACAUUCGGCAAUAAUCCCUCCAAAAAGUAUUGGCAUUGGUGCCAUUUCUCGUACCCAUGAUGUGGACACUUCAAGAGUAGCCCAUUAAAUCGCUCCCAUGUUUCGAAAAACUGCUCGUUCUCUCUCUGUGUAAACUCUGAAAUUUCCCUGCGAAUAGCAUUGGUUUUAUGCACUGGGAAAUAUUUAUUCAAAAAUUUUGUAACCAUUUGUUCCCAUGAUGCAAUGCUAUUAGCAGGCAAUGUAUUAAGCCAUGAACGAGCUCUAUCCUUUAAAGAAAAUGGGAAUAAUCUGAGUUUAACAUCAUCGUCUGAAAAAUUCUCAUAUUUGAAUGUUUGACAAAUGGCAUGAAAAUCAUUCAAAUGAUUAUAUGGAUCCUCAUUUUCUAGGCCAUAAAAUGUGGGAAGACAAUUUAACACACUAGGUUUUAAUUCAAAACUCCUAGCAGCUACAUUUGGGUAUCUUAUACAUGAUGUGCUCAAAUUAGCUAAGGGACUAAAAUAAUCCUUAAAUGGCCUCUCCUGUGGUGCUUGUAAAUCCAUUCCAAAUUUAUUUUUAAUGUGCUUUUGUGUGCGGAGUGUUUUUUCUAAUUCAAGGUCUAUAGGUUCAAGAUUAGGUAAUAAUGACCUACGACCAUGCAUGCAAAAUAAAAUAAAAAUAAAAAUAAAGAUGGGAACAAAACAAAUAAAAAUAAAUAAGAGGGAGAAAUUAUGAUACUAACCUUAUUGCGCUAUUACAACCUUUCUAUAAAAAUACACAAAAACAAAUACGUGAAAUAAAUUAACUAAAAAUUAAAUUAAUAAAAUAAACAAAAAUUACAAAGAAAAAAUAAAUUGAAAAUUAAAUUACAAAAUUUUAAAGAAGAGAAAAAGAAAAGAAAUACUAACCUUUAAAUGUAGAUUUACUUUUUUUUUUAAUAAUAAAAAAAAUACAAGAAAACAAAUAAAAGAAAUUAUUCACAAAAAUUAAUUCUAUGAAUUAAAAUUACUUACCUCCCCGGCAACGGCGCCAAAAACUUGUUGUGCAAAUUUUAAUGUACUCGCAAGCGCACGAAUCUAUUGUAGUAUAAAUCAAUGGUGACGAGUGUCGAUCCCACGAGGAGGUGGAUUUUAAUUGUGUAUAGAAUUAAUUUUGCAAAUGGUUGAUUGGAUUUGUGGUGGAAAUGAUUUGGAAUAUGCUAAAACUUAAAUUAAAAUGGCGAUAAUAAAUUCUGAAAUUGGAAUUGAAAUGGCGAGAAUAAAUUGAAGAGAAUUCUAUUGAAAUGACGUACUUGGGUAUCUGGAUCCGUAUCAACAUGCAUCAUGGGCUAAAUAUUCCUUAUUAAUACCAAUUAAAUCAUGAGGGGGGAAUCCACACCUCAUGAACCACGCUCUAAUCAAUAUGGUGCUAAGGGCUUAUCGUGCCAAAUAAUAAUAACCUUAUACUAGAGGGCCGGUGUAACCAAUGCGGUAUCUAGACAAGAUCAGUAUUAUUUGUCGACGAUAAGUCAAAUCAUCCACAAAAACUAGAGGGGAAAAGAAAAUAAAUUUACCAAAUAAAACCCAUGACACAUGUUGAGACUUCACCUUCAACCCAAGCUUGAAAGGAAAUUAGCUACUCAUAAUUGAACUAGGGGCAAAAUGGAAAUUUAUUAAAAUACAAAGAAAAUACAAGAUGGAGAAGGAAUUACAGAAAAUGGAUCCCAAAAAUGGAUUCAGAGAUAUCCAAUUAGGGGGGGAGGCCCCCUUUUUAUAGAUACAUGGAGUAAAUCAUGGCCAUCGGAUUAAAAACAGUUUGGACGCUCAGGAUUGCGUCAUGUCAUCAGUCACCAGUCCACGGUUUGACCACGUGGAUGAACAGUAACACGGUUUGACCACGUGGAUGAACAGUAACACGGUUUGACCCGGAUGAACAGUAACGCGGUUUGGUUGAAAAUAAUCCUAUGUGAUGCAUGCACCAUACGCGAGAUUUUUCGUCCACUGAUAUGCUGCCACGUCAUCAUCAACAGUACAUAAGAAUUUUAGUCCAACAGGAUCGUGACACCUCAUCAGUCAAUGCCACAUCAUCGGUCAAUGCCACGUCAUCGAUCCGUCUAUGUGAACAGUGUCGUGAACAGUAACGUAGACAGUACCGUACACGUGAAUAGUACCGUACAUGUGAAUAGUGUCAUUUUUCCUUUUAUGCUCUUCCUAAGGUUUUCGACCGUCCUGAGUUCAUAAGUGAUGUCCGUUUUUCCGUCUGAUCUCUCUUUUAUUUUGAAAUGACUAUAAUGCCCCUAAAAUACAUAAAAUACUUAAUUAAAAUAAAACACACGGAAUUAAAUCAAAAGAAGGUUAAAUUCAUAAAAGUAAAAGUGUUAGUAAAACUUGUAGUGUAAAAUGAUGAUUUUCUCUUUUAUAAAUAUACAUUUUCUAACACUCAACACAUAUCGCCAGCGAACCAUCGGUCAAACUCAUCAUAUAUACUAGAAUCCUCCAAUCCUCUAAGUAGAUUUAUAUUCACACUCGUACUCAUGUCAAUCGCAUGGUCCAUGAUUUAGGGUGGAGGUAAAGGCUGGACAUUCUUUCCUCGCUUGACUGGAGGAAUCAUGUAAGGACUAUUAAAAACAUACGACGGUCUGUACACUCGGCCGAACUUACUAAUGACCGGAGGUGCCUCAGUGAAGACCUACACGCUCUCCCCACUAACAUCCCCGUAGAAACUAUACAACGACGUGGGAGUAGAAAAAUUUUGAUUGCCCACAUCAUUAUACACUUCAUAGUCAUCUGGGGCCUGUCCAUUCGGUAAGAUGAACAUAUUAAACAACUAUCAAAUUAAAAGCUAAACGAAAUCCUUGUUUGGACAUUUAAACAGUGAAUCGAUAAAUCCCACCACGGUUUCUUUAAAAUCUUUAAAUUCUGACUUAAGUUCAUAAAUGUUACGAUCAAUCUUGUCCAUCCGUCGUCUCAUAUAAUCAUUAAACUACUUUGUCCUCAACUAUUACAAAGAAAAAAAAUUUAUAAUAACAUAUUGUUAUAAUGAUUUAUAUAUGAGGAAAAGAAAUUAUUUAUAACCUCGAAAUCAUGUGCGUCAUCAGACUUGUCUGUCUGCUUCUGAUGGUCAUCUACAGGCACCUCAUCCUGAAAUAUCUCGUGAUGCUGCUCUAGUGUUAGGUUCUGAUAACUCUAUGAAAUGAGAGUUAUCAUGGCACUUUUAGACUUAAAUCAAUAAUACUUAAAGAGUAAAUGAUGUGUUUUCAUUGUAUUUUUGUUAUAUUUUGUAUAAACAUUCAUUUUAAUUUAGUCUUAAUAAAUUUUACUUGAUUUAGAGUAAUUCGUCCCCAAAUUGUGUGCUUAAUUGUAGGUGUCCAUAAGCUUAUUUUUCACAGAAGGAAUGUUGUUGCAACAAGCUUGCAAAAAUGAAGAAGAACAUGGCUACAUAAGAAUUGAAACAAAAUCUGGAACAAUGUGGUGCUGUAGCCGUUGCUAGAGCAGUGAUGAGCAUAAUUUAUAUACAUAUUUUAGCCUUUAUUGUAUAUUUGCUAGUUAAUUUUAUUUGUUAUUUUUAAUUAAUUGAAUUGUUUUAUUGAAUAGGGAAUUAAUUGGAGAUUGGAAAUAAAAAGUGAAAAAGAAUAAUAAUUUAGGGAAAUAUUAGUUGAAGCUGUGAUAGAGUUAAGAGCCAAGAGCAAUUUGCAUUGAAAAAGAAUUUCAAUUCUCCAAUUGAGUUGCACGUCCAUAGCAUUGCAAAAGGGGAAAGCAAUUUAAAUGGGGCCCACACUUGACUUUCAAAAGUGGAAUUAAUGGCUGGCGUUAUUAUGGAAGCUUUGUUUCAUAAUUGGAAAAGGAUUUUAAUUAGUAGACAAAGAGGAUUCGGUGGCUAAGCAUUAUAAAAGAGAGUUUUGUUUCUUUAAUGAUUAUGGUUUUUAUUUCACAUGAUUAAUUGGAUGUUAAUAAAAUCUUUUCAUCAAUUCUGUCAUGCAUUAUUGAUUGUUAAGGUUAAUAUUCGAUUAAUUCUAUGCUUGGUUCUAUAAAGUUUAUACAUGAUUAUCUUUGAUUUUAUGUCUUUCAUUAAAUUGUUUACAUGGAGUGCUUAGGAAACUUUGACUCUUUGUUAUUCAAUAUGUUUACAUGAGAUUCUUAGAUGUCAUAUUAUUAAGCAGAAAAAGAACCUACAUUAGAUUUAAGUACUUGGGCUUAAUUGUUAUAUCCAUGAGAUGACAUAGAUUGAUUUCGAGUUGUCACUCUAAAAUUGGGGAUUAAUUAAUAAUUAGAUAAUUACUAGUUGAAUAGUGGUGGAUUCUGAAACCUUGGUAAUUCUUAUUUUAUUGAAUUCUCCUUUAUUUUAAUUGCUUCCUUAGUUUAAUUGGUUUAAUUUUCUUAGAAACUCAAUUUGGUCAACUAGGUUAGAAUUUAUAUUAAUUUUAGAUUUAAAUUAGACUUUUCAAUUUAUAACAAUCCUUGUGGGAUCGACCUCGUUACCACUAUUCUAUCUCUAGAUUUGUACGCUUGCGAGUACAUUAAAAUUUUCACAACAAGUUUUUGGCGCCGUUGCCGGGGAUUGUGCUAGAAAGUCAAGUUUAAUCUAGGUUAAUUUGAUUUUUCCACUAGUUAUAAUUUAGGUUGUCUUUUAUUUUAUUUAUUCAAUUUUUAUUUUUAUUUUAUUUUGAAUUCAUUCUUUAGUUGUUUAAUUUUUUUUUUUAAUUUCGUUUAUUCUCAUUAUUGUUGGUUUAUUUUAUUUUAUUUUAUUUUAUUUUAUUUCCUUGUCUGGUUAGUUUAUGAGUGUUUGGGAACGUGAUUCAACAAAUUGUUUGGUUAAAAGAGAGUCGAAAAUUGAUAGUAGUCAAGCUAGUUCUUUAGAAGUGAUGGAUGACCCAAAUAGAUUAUUGCCAAUACUUUCACCAGUGCAAGCAGAGAAAACCCUUAGAGAAUACUUUUCACCACUUGCAGCCAACCAACCAUCUUGUAUUGUGUUGCCACAAACUACAGCAACACACUUUGAACUUAAGCCCUCUGUCAUUCAACUUUUGCCAUCUUUCCAUGGGUUAGAGAGAGAGGAUCCAUAUUUGCACAUUAAGGAAUUUCUUGACAUAUGCUCUACAUUUCGUUUUCAAAAUUUUAAUGAUGAGUCAAUUAAGCUUCGUAUGUUCCCUUUCUCAUUAAAAGACAAAGCAAAAACUUGGUUGAAUUCACUUCCUGCUGGAUCUAUUAGUACAUGGGAUGAAUUGAGUAAUAAGUUUCUCACCAAGUUUUUCCCUAUGUCUAAAACAAAUGCCCUUAGGAGAGAGAUAAGUGAUUUUUAUCAAAGAGAGGGUGAGCAAUUUUACGAGUGUUGGGAAAGAUUCAAUGAUUUACUCCUCAAGUGUCCCCACCAUGGUUUUGAAAAAUGGAGACUUAUACAAUGCUUUUAUAACGGUUUAACCAUGUCAAAUCGUCAUAUGAUAGAGUCUAUGAAUGGUGGGAGAUUUUUGAACUUACAUGAAGGGGCUGCAUGGGAUUUCUUUAAUUCACUCUCUGAGAAUUCUCAACAGUGGGAUUUUUCAAACCAAAAGGAAAAUCAUCUCAAGUUUCUAGAAAGGGGUUAUAUGAAGUUAAGGAUGAUUUUGAUGUGAAAUCCACUCUAGCUACACUUUCUAGGAAAGUAGAUGCCUUAGCUCUGAAUCAAUCAAUGAAUCAUCAUCCUAGUGUAGUUAAUGAGGUUUGUGCUAUUUGUUCUAACUUGUCUCACACAGCACAUAAUUGUCCAUCAUUACCAGCCUAUCAAGAGGCUUAUUCUGAGCAGGUACAUGCCUUACAAUCAUAUGAGAAAACCUCUAAUAGUCCAUAUUCAUCCACAUAUAAUCCUAAUUGGAGGAAUCACCCUAAUUUUUCUUGGAAACAAAAUCAACCUUUGUCAAACCAAUGAGGACAACAAUUUAACAUGCCCAAUCAACAAUUUGCCCUCCUAACCAAGUAUAUCCUCCUGCCCAACAACCUAUGUCUCAAUUUGUUGCACCCCAACAAAGAAAGCCUUCUUUAGAGGAUACACUUCAAAGUUUCAUUCAGUCAACCCAACAAGCUUUUCAGUCAAACACUCAAGCUAUUCUAAAGCUUGAACAUCAAUUGGGUCAAUUAGCAACUACUGUAGCAGAGAGAGAAAAAUGAAAAUUUCCAAGUCAACCAAUUCCUAAUCCCAAAGGAGUGCAUGAAGUUGGAUCGAGUUCAAGCCAUCAGCAUGAAGAAGCAAAAUCUGUUAUGACCUUGAGAAGAGGAAAAUUAUUUGACAAUAAGGUGGAGGUUCCAACAAGGAAGACAUCUGAGCCUACUUCUUCAGAUCCAGUUCCAUCACAAGACUCAUCAACAAAUGAUCCAGAAGAGAGUGGCCCACCAGCUUACAUUCCUAAGGCUCAUUUUCCUCAAAGGUUAGCAAAGGUAAAGAAAGGGACUUCAACAAGUGAGAUUAUGGAAAUCUUCAAGCAGGUAAGUAUAAACAUCCCUUUACUCGAUGCUAUUAAGCAAGUUCCUUCCUAUGCCAAGUUUUUUAAAGAUCUAUGCACUAAAAAGAGAAAUUUGCAUGUCACCAAAAAGGCGUUUUUAACUGAACAAACUAGCAAUUUACUCCAAUGUAAAAUGCCACCAAAAUUUAAGGAUCCAGGUUCCCCUACUAUCUCAUGUGUUAUAGGGAACCAAUGUUUUGAUAAAGCAUUAUUGGAUUUGGGUGCUAGUGUUAAUCUCUUGCCUUAUUCUGUUUACAUGCAACUUGGACUAGGUGAGUUAAAAUCAAAUUCCAUUGUUUUGCAACUUGCUGAUAGGUCAAUAAAAAUACCUCGUGGUAUUAUAGAGGAUGUGUUGAUACAAAUUGAUAAAUUUUAUUAUCCUGUUGAUUUUAUUGUUAUUGAUACUCAGCAUGUACAGGAUCCUAAGAAACACACCUCAGUUAUUUUAGGUCGUCCUUUCUUAGCUACAGCUGAUGCUCAUAUUAGUUGCAGGACUGGAAACAUGCAAUUGUCUUUUGGUAACAUGACCAUGGAAUUAAACAUUUUUAAUGUUCUUAAGCAGGCACAAAAAGAUGAUGAAGUUGUUGAAGUAGAUAUGAUAGAAGCAUCAAUUGAUGACUCACUUAUUUCUAACCACUGUGACAAUCCAUUAAUACCAUGCACAACUGACUCUGAUUUCUCUGUUGAUGUUGAUAGUGGUAUUGAAGAAGUUAAUGUUUUACUUGAUUCGACUCUUAUCAUAGAUCUAAUUAAGUGGAAAGAAAAGAUUAAGCCACUUCCUCCUGAAGAGAAAAUUGAACCAUUCAAGUUGGAGUUACUUCCUAAAAAAGUGCAACAAAGGUCACAUUCUGACAUGAAAAAGGUGGUAAGAUCUAAAGUGCUUAAAUUAAUAGAUUUUUAUACUACUUCAGAUAACUCUCAGGAAAGCUUGGAACAGAAGAGAUCAAAGCAGUGCGAUAUUGAGGAGUUUCAUUACCAUCAUCCUUUUUUGGAUAAAAUGCUCAAAUGCUUAAUCAAUUAUGUUUUCUGGUAUUUUCUGUAUAAUUGCUUUGAUUUUCACCAAAUUCUUAUUGAUCCUGGUUGAUUUGUUGUUUACAUUAAUUUUUUAGUUAGUAGGAUUUUUUUUUAAUAUUUCUUCUAAUGUUUUAUUUGUCAUUUUUUAAAGCUUUUCCAGCCCAUCCAGGUGUGUUCUCUCCAACUUUCUUUUUAUUAUUUAUGUUUUUAUUAUUAUUUUUUCUUUCAUUUGUUUGCAUGCAUAUCUUUUGUUUGUGAAACAUUGAGGACAAUGUUCCGAAUAAGUUUGGGGGUGGGAAUAGUGUGUGGUUUGUUUGUUAUUAAAAAAAAAUUCAAAAAAAAAUGUUUUUUUUUCUUUUUUGUUUUUAUGUGAAAAGCCAAAGAUAAGAAUUUGAUUGACAAUGCAUAUGAUUUUUAGAAAGGGUUGAAUAUUGUCUUAGUUUAUACUUGAUUCUUGUGUUAGUUCCUCUUGAUUAAGAUUCUUUAAACCAUGAGCACUAAUAUCAGUUCUUUCAUAAUUUUGACUUGAAAUUUGAGAUUAACGCAGCCUGAGUUGAGAAUUUUAGAUAGAGUAAAUGACUGUUUGUCUUAAUUCUUAUCUCCACAAUACAAAUUAGUAUACACAGGCGCCAAAAUCAGAAAUAGCUACCUAUAACCCUUAAGAGUGAAGCUAUCCUUGACUAAUUUGGGCCUAUGUACCACCAGUAUGUAGAGGAUAAUCUACCAUGAGAAGAAAGUUACCUUAAGGGGUAGAGUGAAAGCUCCUGACUAUGGUUUAAAAAAAAAAGAGAAAAAUAAAAGAAAAAAUCAAAUCAAGUGCAUGUGCUGAAAAAAAAAUUCAAAAGAAAAUGCACAUGAAAGCCUGUGAGAGAAAAAAAAAAUUAGAGAUCAAAAUGAUAAGAUUAGUUUGACCUACUCUAUUCUUUGUUUGAGGUGAAGGCUGUUGAUGUUGAGGAUUUUGGGAAUGGAUUUGAUUGAAUUGAUUACACACACACACUACAAGAAUCGAAAGAGAGAUGAGAUUGACUAUUGAAUUAAAGUUAGAACUUUGCUAAUAUUUGAAAUUUUCUUUGAGCUAUAUAAUUUUUACAAUCUUUGAGGCUAUUUUUCAUGGUUUAUUUAAAGUUUUUCGUUCUUUUGAUUUAAUUUAAUUUAUUUAUUUAUUUUUUUUAAAUGAUGUUUGUGGGUAUCAUCACUGAAGCCCUCACGAGACUAUAACUCGUCCACUAGGGCCGCCUAGGGGUUUAAAGACUUGUUGCAUACGCUAAAUGCAAUCGCGAUUACCUGCGAAAGUGGUUUAGUUAGGAUUUACUUUUUGUUUCAUUGUUUUUAUUUUUUUAUUUUUAGUUUUAGUUUUUCUCGAGGACUAGCAAAAUCUAAGUUUGGGGGUAUUUGAUGAGCAUAAUUUUUAUAUAUAUUUUAGCCUUUAUUGUAUAUUUGCUAGUUAAUUUUAUUUGUUAUUUUUAAUUAAUUGAAUUGUUGUAGCAAUCCUGGAACAACGACAGAGAAAAUUUAGCGCGAGAUAUAUGCAUAAUCGAUAUCUGUAGUUUCCUAAUCUGACUUAUGCGUGCCCUAAGCUUCUGUUUACCUUAGUUUUCAUAUAUAAAAAGAGCAUACAUCAUAUGAAAAAGGACGGCGAAUUAACAUCGGAGAAAUCAAAGGGAAAAAGAGAACAAAAUCAUAAUUCACGGGAAAGCAAGUAUGCACCAUUGAAGAUAAACCAGCAGAACUAUUAGGGAUUCAAUUUUCAUCGUUCUUUACUUGUUCAUUUACUUACUCUUUGAUUGAAGCGAUGUAUUUCAUGGUUGAUAUUUUGUUGUUUGUUUUUCUUUUUCAAAGUAUGAACUAAAUUUGAUUAUAGUUGAGUGACAAACAAUCUAAAUGGGUUUUUAACUGUUCUUAUGAGUUGUUGUACGAUUGCUGUAGCAUUUUACUCUAAUAACUAUUAUUAUAAUCAUUAUUUUGUUGACCACCCAUUUAAUGGUUCAAAUUAAGAUAGAGCCGCAAAAUGGCCUGUCUUAGUGGAAAUUAUUAGAGUAAUACUUGAUCUUAAUUUAAGUUUCUUGAACUAAGAUUACUUGAGUCCGAAAGGGCUAUAUUUGAGUUAAGAUUUGUGAAGAACUAGACAUAGGAAUUCACCUUGUAGGGUAGAGAGAGUGUAUGCUCAUAAUGCCAUACCGUAGGUGGGUUAACAACUGGUCAUUGUUAGGGUACUUAAGGGUAUGAGAAAUCUGACAAGCGACAGCUGAUGAUGUAAAAUAAUUCUGCCCAGUGCUGUAGGAAUUACUGUAGCAACUGGUGUUAAUUUAGACAAAACAGUCAGUUCAUAAAGAGAGUUUGAUCACUCAGCUACCUCAUUCCCAUUGAAUUCUUUUUACGCAAUUCAUUUAAUUUGUUUUAUUACUGCAUUGAUUUGUUUUAUUUUUGUUUUUCUUUUAUUGUUUAUUUCGGUGGUAAUUCACUUUUAAUUAGAAUCUUUUUGGAAUAAAGGAAGUUUGCACUAUCGUGAUUACUGUAGCAUUUCUAGUAACAUCAAUCCAUGUGGAGAUGAUCUCGAAUAUUCAUCACUUUAUUACUUGUUGUGUCCACUUGCACAUUGACAUCAAUAACAAUUGAGUUAGAAAAUAACCAACAGGCUCGAUAUGUCAUCAUGCUCGUCUGAUUGCCUUGUAACGAGCGGCGACGCAUUGAUUGAAGGUUGGUGCUGUAGAAAGUAACAUCUAAAAUAAAUAAAUGAAAAGCGAAAAUUUUCAAUUAAAUAAAUAAUAGUACUUAAAGGAUAUUGACCCUAUGAACCCAGCCUGGAAUACGUGGCAUGUAGUCCUUCAGAGUGAGCCAAUAUUUUUGCGACUCUCCUUUGCAUCCGGCUCAAGGGUUUGUAAAACGUCCCUCUGCCAUGAAUUCAACCCAAAAUUUUAAUUAAGUGUACAAAAUUCAAAUUUAGUAAUGUCAAAAAUAGUAUUAUACGUCUACCAAUACAUAUUACUUAGAAGACGAGAUUCGUCAUUGAAAAAUGAAUAAACCUCAGUAAAGUUGAUUUUAGAAGAAGCCAUGGGCUUCCAUUGCACGAUGUGGGGAUUCUUCUUCUUCAUUUUCAUGACCCAUGAUGACGGCAGACCUCUGAUCGCUUCGUAAAUCCAAGCCUGCAACAACCAAAGUGAGAAAACUAUUAAAACUAUCAUUAAAUAUUUAAUGUUACUUUUUUAUUAAAAAAAACAACACACCUGAACCCCGGACGUAAAUCCGUAAACAUUGUACUUUUCAAUUUUAUGAUUUGGCUUUUCCAAACGAGUCGUCUUAAAUUUCUCGUCUUUCUCGUUCAGUGCUUUGUCAAGACUCUUACAUACCGUUUCCCAUGACAAACGACCCCAUGGACGAUUUCGGUGCUCUAUAUUAUCUACUUCGUUAAGCCAUGAGAAAUUAAUUUGACAGUGGUCUUUUCUUCCAUUUAGAUCUCUGUCUGCAAAAUAAAAGAGCACAAUCUUUAAUGCGUCAAUAUCGUCCAUAGCCUCGAAGUCCAACUUCUCAAAUAAUGCAUCGAAUUGCUUAAGAUUGAUGUUGCGAAACAAACCAUCAAAAUACAUAUUCAGUAGCCUAUGCACCGUUUUCUUAUUUCUUAGUGUGGUAUCUACACCAUAGGAAAGUCUAAUAACCAGGCACCAUUCUGCAAUUGACAAGUGUAUCAAAUGCUCACCAAUUUGAAACCAUAACUGAUCCUCCCCAUUGUAUUCUCCAUGGGCCCCUUGCCUAAGCAAAACAUUAUGUAAAAUUACACCACUGAACGGAAAGUUUCGACACUCCAAGAAAUGUCCAAAUAUGUAUUCCUUGAACAGACGCAACUGCUGCUUUGUUAAUUUUCGCUCGAUGGCUUUUACGACUGUGGAUAAGUUACACAUGCUCGAAAUUCACCCCGGGAAGUGAUCGGCAUAAGCUAACUUCAUCCUGCCUAGUUCGUUUUUCGAUUCUUCUGAUUUUACCAUGUAUCUGUAAUAUUUAUAACAUUAUUACAUUGCAUUUAUAACAAAAAAAGGAAAUUGACUUCACGUUAAAAAAAAAAACCACUGUAAUUUGGUGCGACAGGCGCGCGUGCAGAUCGCGCGCCAACAACCCUCCUCCUCCACGCCCACGACAACCUUUUCACCCAUGCACCACAGCAACAACUUCACCCAUGCACUCAACAUCACAAACUCCUUCAAUCUUCACUCACCAUCACCAACACAACACAAAAACCACAACAUAGAAGAAGAAUAGGAAAUAGAAAGUUAGGGUUUUUGACAUAACCUUUAAUUUGAACUCCUGACUGGAAUUUUGGUGAUGUUGACUGCCAAGAAUGACUCUGGGAAGCCGCCGGCGACGAGUAAACACGUUGGGAGUGAAUUCGGCGGUGAGAGAGAGAGAGAGAGAGAGAGAGAGAGAGGAAUGAGAGGAAGGAGAGGGAGAGUUAUGGGAGGGCAUUUUCGGCACUAGGGAUGAUUAUUAGCUAAUGUUGAUAGGAAAAAAAAAUUGAGGGGUUAGUUAUGAAAAUAACAAAAAAAUUUGGAUUAUUUGUGUAAAUUUCCCUACGAAUUUGACAAAAAAUGUUUUUACCAAAUUUUGAUAAAACCCUGGUUCAUUUAACUUAAAUUAUUAAAGCAACCGCGCGUGAAACAUGCAUUGUCCAAAAAUGUCAAAAGCAAGCAAUGAUUUUUGUGGCAAGUUACAAGUGUGAGCCAUAGCAAAUUAAGACAAAGCGAUAAAUGCAAAAGUCAUGAUGAAGACAUGCACGGUGCAAUUUGUCAAGCCAAAAACAGUGCUUGGAAAUAAGAACAAGUUGAAACGGGAACUUCCCUUAUGUACGUAGCAUGGAAUUGAUCUAUUUGAAUUAUCCAAAUUCAUCAAAGAUAAAAAUUGUCGAAUUGAGCAAAACAUUGAGAGAAAGGGAUAUGUUGAGGCAUUUUACCAGCUGUGGAUGGAAUGGGAUAUAAAGAGUAUUUACCGAAUUAAUAUAACACAAUUCAGUGUUUUGGAUGUGUGGUUUAAUUGCAUCACACAAAUUUGUUUUUCCCUACACUCGAUAAAGUCUCGACCUUUGAAUUUCAUCCUCCUUGUAGCUCUCCUAAAGCUGAUUCUCUCUCAUCACUGUAUUAUAAAAGUUUUGCUGUAAAAGGUUUAGAAUCUUUUUGUUCCCUUUCCCAUAGAGUCUACUCAUAGUAGUCUUUUUAACUUAGACCACGACAUUAUUUCAGGAAAGGAAAACCAAAAGUUUUAGGUCAUGAUAAAUAACAACAUAAACUAUCCGUGUAUUUUUCUUAAAUACAAUAAUUUUCCAACAAAUUUUUGCGAAAAUUUUCAAUAAAAUUAAAUAAUUUAAGUACUGUUAACGUACUAGAUAGGUGAACAAUCGAGGAGAAUAUAUAUAAUAGUAGAAUUUUCUUAUUUAUUCGAACUAUUUUUUUUUUUUGGACAAAAAACCUAACAAAAUUAUGGAGGUGUUCCGAAACGAGGGUUACAUUAACUCACAUUGCUAAAGAUAAUAAUUUAGAGAUAAACAGCACCGCCAUUAAUAAAUCAGUUAAAAAUUAAAAAAUACAUACUUUACUAUAAAUAAAAAAUUCAUAAUAAGAUAUUUUCCUGUACAUUUUUCUUUUUAACAUUUUCUUAUAAUACAUGUAUAUUUUAUAUUAUUAAGAUAAAUUAUUAAACAAAUAAUUCAUUUCUCUCUCUUUUCCUUUAAAUUUUUUGGAGCUAGAGGAGCUUUAAGAUAUUAUGAAAAUAAUAAGGAAUAAGCAGUAUGUAUGAUUUCAUUAAGGGCUAAAUUUACAAUCUCCAUCAUCCAAAUGCUUCAAGGAUAAAAAACAUUGAAAGAGGGGGAUGUGCUGAGGCAUUUUACAAGGUGUGGAUGGAAUGGGAUAUUAAAGCAUUUACCGAAUUAAUAAACACAAUCCAAGAUACAUAAACAUGGGUUGGCACUUAAAGUCUGAAAAUUAAUUUCUACUCAAGCGCACUCUUAAAAAAGUGGUUUAAUUUUAUUAUAACACAAUUGUUUUUUACUACAUUCAAUAAAGUACUCGGUAUUUCGAAUUAAAAUUCUCUCUUAAUUUGAGCUCUUUUGAGUUUUUAAAGAUUAUGUGUUAUGUCUCUUUUAAUUAUAGUGUAUAGAUAUGAUUUAAUUUCUUUAUUUAUUAACCAAAAAUAGCCACAUAUUAUUUUUAUUUAGGAAUCAGAGAAUCAUAAUUAGAUUAAGAUUUUCUGAAUCUCCACCUUGUUCUAAUAGCUCUUAUCACUACCAAUUCUCUCUCACCACUUUAUCGUAAAAGUUUUUUCUAUAAAAUGUUUAGAAUCUUUUUGUCCCUCCUUCUCAUAGAGUCUAUAGACAUCAUUUGGAAAGAGUAAGGUAUUUUAAUUUCUUUUAUCUUAUUUAUCUUUCGGGUUAAGAAGUCACAAUUAGUCAAUAAAAGUAUAAUUUUUAUUUUUCAUAGAAGUCUAUUUAACUUAGAUCAUGAUACUGUUUCAAGAAAGAAAAAAGAGGGUUGGAUCACGAUAAAUAACAAUAUAAGCUAUUCGUGCAAUUUUUCUUAAAUAUAAGAUUUUUCUAACAAAAUUUUGCGAAGAGAUUUAGAUAAAAGUUAUUGACUUGCUAGAUAUAUGAACAAUCGAAGAGAACAUAAAAAUAAAAUUUUAUUAUUAUGCAAACAAUGUUGUCUUUCGGGAAAAAAAAAAGCGAUAACAAAGUUGUGGAAGUAGAGCGAAACGAGAGUUCUGUUAACUCACUUUGCUAAAGAAAAUAGUUGCAGUAUGAGAAUUCAACAUGGAAGAUAUGAAAUUAUUUUUUUUUUAAGAGAACUAUUGCUCAUGAUAUUUACAUCAUACAAAUUAUUGAGAUCAGUUUACAUCAAUUUUGAUAUGACACCGCUUAGAUUUUUUAACAUUCUCAAAUAUUUGAGGGACGCCCAACUCCCAUUGUGGGAGAAAGACUGUCUUCACUCGAGCUCUGAAGUUCCAAGGAAAGAAAUUUAAAUUAAUCACCUGUAAUACAUCUGUAGAGACUCGAACCACUUCCCUCACAUUUGUGAGGGAGUGUCUCUAGCCCAAGUGGUUUGGAAGAUAUGAAAUUAGAAUCAAAGAGACUAGAGAUUAAUUUAUGGUUCAGAAAUAUAUUUAAUUAGUUAGGUAAACUUGUCCUUAACAAUCAAUUAAGUUGUGGGUAUUUUCAAAAUAAAAUAUUUUAUGAAAAUAAAAGUGUUCAGAUUACGCCACCAUUAGUAAAUUAGUCAGGACAGUUGGCAAGCUCUGUUAUUUUCAAGAACUUAAAUUAGUAGAAGUUUUUUCAACUGAUGUCAUCCUAUAUCAUGUUAUGGAUGUCAUGGGCUACGUACCAGUGCAUCUAUAAGAGUCCAAGACCUCAAAUUAUGAUUUAUACAAGGCAAACCAUACAGGCGCAUGGCUUUUCAUAUAUACUUAAUUUUAUGCCUACUUGUCCAACAGUUAAGAACCGCAGCCAAUGCUACAAAAUAUGUUCCCCACCAACCAGGAUCCUACCACAAAUAAUGCUCACAUGCAUUGCACAAUAGAUAAUAACAAUUGUUUCCCCCACUCGAAUUUGAUAUAGGGAGACAUAAUUUUAAUGUACGAGAAUUUAAUGAUAAGCAGAGUUUUUUUUAAGUAUUUAAUUAAUAGUUGUUAGAUAAAAAAUUAAAAAGUAAAUAAAAAUUAAAUCAUAACUAAUAAUUUAGUGGUUAACAAAAAACUCAACUCAGAAUUUUAAUCCAACUUUAAUAAUGAUGUCACUCACAAAAACGACAACGUGGAUUCUACUCCCACUCCUAGGGUGAGAAAGAAGUUAUACUCCAUGCUCCUACAUUCGCUUCCUGUAGCAAGGAAUUUUUGUUGACUGAAUAUUUUUAACUGCUCUUGGAGCACGCUAUUUUUCAUUCAUUCUUUCUUAUAUGUAUGUUUAAACUAAAGACCUUUUUACUAACACAUUCAUAGAAGAACACGCCCUCAGUAAUUGUCAAUUCUAAAGCUCAUCUAGUUAUGGAUUUAUCAAAGUUUGAAGGGGGCCCCUCUAAUUCUUGUGUUAACAUUAUGGUAAAGUUACGAUGCUUCUCCAGCUCGGGUUGGUCAAGAUUCAAGCAUGCUCCUAUUUCGCGGGUUGGGCCUGUUUCUAAUUUGGAAACGGAGUUUGAAGACUAAACAGUUAAAUUUCACAUUUUUGAUCCAAUCUAAGUAUUUUUUAAUAAAAAACUUAGAAGUAUUUGUAACCAUUUUCUAUACUAUAAGAGUAUAGCUGUCAUUUUCAUAUUUUUAUGAAGAAAGAAAUAUUUGAAUACACAUUAAUGGAAAAUAAAUUUUUGAUUAGGAAUAGUGCUGUUAAUUAUCUAGUUUUCUAACAUUUUCCAAAUUAAACUAGAAAAAUAUUUUAAAUAUUUCUUCACUUGUUAGAAUAGCCUAAAAUCAUGUUCAGGUUUAAGUCGUUUCGGCUUUCCUUGAGCUCACUUAUGCUUUUCACACCAUGAAUCACAAAUGAAAGUCCAAAAACAACUCCAUCAGGCCCAUUACUUCAGUACAUUUCGAUUAGCUCAUGAGGGUAUUGACUGGAUAGUUUAGAAACAUUACAUCAAUACAUUUUAACCAUUACUUAUUCAAAAAAGAAAAUUGUUGUAAAAAGUUAACCGUUACAUCAAGCGUAGAUUAUUUAAUUUGCACAAAGACGCCAGACAAUCACCGUGCAGGUGGUGGGUCCUAGAUUGACGUGUACCUCUUGAGGUGGAAGUUUAUAUUUGAUCAAUAUCUUCAAAUAUUUGCUUUAGCUGUAAGACUAAUUUCGAUGUCCUUUUAACGUGCUUCCCAUAGUCCUGAAAGUAUGUGCCAUUUUCAUGUUGUUUAUACCUUCAAUGUCCUUCACCACCACACUGUGAUCUCUACUCCAAUGCUUACGGUUGUUCACCAAAUAGUUGCCAUAAAAUAAAGUGUACAAAAAGUAAGCAAAGCAAUAAUGAUAUCAAAAGGGAUUUCAUUCAUUCUUUCUAGAAAAAUUUGGUAGCCUAUUCCUAGAAAGUCUAACAAAUUGUUGGAGUCUAACAAAUUGUUAGAGGGUUGAGCCAAAAAUUUCUAAAUAUCCAACCAACAGAGUAAUUUUUUUUAGGUAAAGUGACUUAUUUUCUUAUAAAUUUAAUUAUCUCUUUUUUAUUAAUCAAUGUGAUAUACAACUCAAUAAUCUCUCCUCUCAGACAAAACUACCACCGGACGAAAGAAACUCAAUUCUUUCAUCCGACACACUUGAAUUAUUCCACCAUCACAUUUUAGCUACUAGGGUUUAGUUACAAUACCAAUUAUUGAGGGAUUAGGCUUAAAAUUUUUAUUUAUUCAACUAAAAGAUUAAUCUUUUUAGAUGGAGUGACUUACUUCUUUAUUAGUAUUAUUAAAAUUAUUAUUUUUAAUUGCCCAAUCACCAUUCUCUUCAACAAGAUUUGUCCCGAGAUCUAAAAGGAGUAACUAUGAUACAGACAGCUACGAUCAUCAUGAUGACGUUAGAGAAUUUGUCCAAUCAAACAACUUCACUAUUUCAUCAAUUACUAUAAUUUUUAUUUCUUCAUACUUUACAAUAAAAGAUUCUAAAGUAUUUUUUUUAUAAUACAUUCAAGUAUUACAUGUGGGCAUUUAAAUAUUUAUCAUAAAAAAAACAAUUAUAUAAUUAAUUAUAUAUAUAUUAAAUAAAUAUAGUACAACACCAAUACUUUAAAAUCUUUAUAACUCAGAAACUCCAGCACAUUUCUUGGCUAAUGGACAGCACAGGAGCAUUUAAUUAUACAUGAAGCAAACCAUUCAUAACCAUAUAUUUCAACAACCUAAACUCAUCAGUCACCACACAUUUCAACUACCCAAAUUUUACAUACUAAACUUACCGCCACAAAUUUAAACUAUAACAUAUUUCACACAAACUUACCAAACUUAGGAACUUCUGAAAAUUGGGCUUAAUUGGUCUCUGUGUACAUCGGGUUUAAUAUCCAACACAUGAUGGCUACUGGUUAGCGCCCCGCGUAGCUAACCCGAACUUCUUGAGGUAGAAGAUUGUAUCUGAUACCAAGUUCUUCAAAUAUUUUCUUUAGCUCUAAGACUAAUUUGGAUCUCCGUUUAAGUUUCUUCAUGUAAUCCUGAAAGUUCAUGGUAUGAGUAACAUAGAGAGUCAUUUUCAUCUUAUUCACAUCCUCAAUAUCCUUCACCACCACACUGUGAUCUCCACUCCAAUGCUUGUGCUUCCUCUCCAAGUAGCUGCAGUAAAAUAACGUUGACAAAAAUAUGCACACAAAAAAAGUGACAAAAGAUAAGCGUCAACAGUACGUUAUAACAAAAAACCGAAAAUUGGUAUCAAAGACAAGUCUCAACAAUCCUAACCCUUUAACAUACAGUUGUUAUCUCAAAAGAACUGACUUACUCUUUUAUUCUAGAUUUUAGUUUGUCAAUGAUCUCAACUGAUGUGAAAACAUCAAUUGCAAACUCCACAGUAUCACCCAUCUCUCGCGGGCUCCUGUAAAAGUUGCUGAUGGGUUUGG
RNAcentral lists this long non-coding RNA (38930 nucleotides) under Citrus maxima (pomelo). RNAcentral describes it as "long non-coding RNA (CMAX_LNC000418)". The stretch from base 21009 to 21112 matches the Rfam family "Plant small nucleolar RNA R71". The record is from RNAcentral. Lineage: Eukaryota; Viridiplantae; Streptophyta; Magnoliopsida; Sapindales; Rutaceae.